Molecule: ribosomal RNA, 505 nt
Filed under: uncultured bacterium
Lineage: Bacteria
Description: partial 16S ribosomal RNA
Rfam family: Bacterial small subunit ribosomal RNA
Source: RNAcentral
GACGAACGCUGGCGGCGUGCUUAAUACAUGCAAGUAGAACGCACAGUUUAUACUUUAGCUUGCUACACCAUAGACUGUGAGUUGCGAACGGGUGAGUAACUCGUAGGUAACCUGCCUGGUAGCGGGGGAUAACUAUUGGAAACGAUAGCUAAUACCGCAUAAUAUUAAUUAUUGCAUGAUAAUUAAUGGAAAGGUGCAAUUGCACCACUACCAGAUGGACCUGCGUUGUAUUAGCUAGUAGGUGAGGUAACGGCUCACCUAGGCGACGAUACAUAGCCGACCAGAGAGGGUGAUCGGCCACACUGGGACUGAGACACGGCCCAGAAUCCUACGGGAGGCAGCAGUAGGGAAUCUUCGGCAAUGGACGAAAGUCUGACCGAGCAACGCCGCGUGAGUGAAGAAGGUUUUCGGAUCGUAAAGCUCUGUUGUAAGAGAAGAACGGGUGUGAGAGUGGAAAGUUCACACUGUGACGGUAUCUUACCAGAAAGGGACGGCUAACUACGUG